ACAUCCAGAGAACUUAGCAGAGAUGCUUUGGUGCCUUCGGGAACUCUGAGACAGGUGCUGCAUGGCUGUCGUCAGCUCGUGUUGUGAAAUGUUGGGUUAAGUCCCGNAACGAGCGCAACCCUUAUCCUUUGUUGCCAGCGAUUCGGUCGGGAACUCAAAGGAGACUGCCGGUGAUAAACCGGAGGAAGGUGGGGAUGACGUCAAGUCAUCAUGGCCCUUACGGCCAGGGCUACACACGUGCUACAAUGGCGCAUACAAAGAGAAGCGACCUCGCGAGAGCAAGCGGACCUCAUAAAGUGCGUCGUAGUCCGGAUUGGAGUCUGCAACUCGACUCCAUGAAGUCGGAAUCGCUAGUAAUCGUAGAUCAGAAUGCUACGGUGAAUACGUUCCCGGGCCUUGUACACACCGCCCGUCACACCAUGGGAGUGGGUUGCAAAAGAAGUAGGUAGCUUAACCUUCGGGAGGGCGCUUACCACUUUGUGAUUCAUGACUGGGGUGAAGUCGUAACAAGGUAAGCGUACUACA
Molecule: ribosomal RNA, 525 nt
Filed under: uncultured bacterium
Lineage: Bacteria
Description: bacterial SSU rRNA
Rfam family: Bacterial small subunit ribosomal RNA
Source: RNAcentral